Molecule: long non-coding RNA, 213 nt
Organism: Lacerta agilis (Sand lizard)
Lineage: Eukaryota; Metazoa; Chordata; Lepidosauria; Squamata; Lacertidae
Exons: 3
Source: RefSeq, a predicted model, not a curated record
UGCCUCAGUAAGCGGAGCAGAGAACGUAUGCUAAUCCCUCAGGGAACAGGCAGAAAGGCCUCCAUUUUGAAGAACCAGCAAACCUCCUGAGAGGAGAUGUCAUCUGUUUCUUUCAUCUCCACUCAUCCUGCAAAUAGUUCCUGCAUGAAUAAAGCCUUUGAACUCCAGAAACUGAUGUGCAAGUGGUGGCCAUAGCAGCUUUUCAAAUGUACC